Molecule: ribosomal RNA, 414 nt
Filed under: uncultured microorganism
Description: bacterial SSU rRNA
Rfam family: Archaeal small subunit ribosomal RNA
Source: RNAcentral
CAGCCGCCGCGGUAAUACCGGCGGCCCGAGUGGCGGUCACUAUUAUUGGGCUUAAAGCGUCCGUAGCCGGGUUGGGAAAUCCUCCGGGAAAUCUGGCCGCUUAACGGUCAGAAUGCCGGAGGAUACUCCCAGCCUAGGGAGCGGGAGAGGCCGAGGGGAUUCCCGGAGUAGGGGUGAAAUCCUAUAAUCCCGGGAGGACCACCUGUGGCGAAGGCGCUCGGCUGGAACGCGUCCGACGGUGAGGGACGAAGGCCAGGGGAGCAAACCGGAUUAGAUACCCGGGUAGUCCUGGCUGUAAACGAUGCGGACUUUGUGUCGGACAAGCUAUGAGCUUGUCCGGUGCCGGAGGGAAACCGUUAAGUCCGCCGCCUGGGGAGUACGGCCGCAAGGCUGAAACUUAAAGGAAUUGGCGGG